GAUGAAGAACGUAGCGAAAUGCGAUAAGUAAUGUGAAUUGCAGAAUUCAGUGAAUCAUCGAAUCUUUGAACGCACAUUGCGCCCGCCAGUAUUCUGGCGGGCAUGCCUGUCCGAGCGUCAUUUCAACCCUCGAACCCCUCCGGGGGGGUCGGCGUUGGGGAUCGGCCCCUCACCGGGCCGCCCCCGAAAUCCAGUGGCGGUCUCGCCGCAGCCUCUCCUGCGCAGUAGUUUGCACACUCGCACCGGGAGCGCGGCGCGGCCACAGCCGUAAAACACCCCAAACUCUGAAAUGUUGACCUCGGAUCAGGUAGGAAUACCCGCUGAACUUAAGCAUAUCAAUAAGCGGAGGA
RNAcentral lists this unclassified non-coding RNA (350 nucleotides) under soil metagenome. Its description in RNAcentral is "partial contains 5.8S ribosomal RNA, internal transcribed spacer 2, and large subunit ribosomal RNA". The stretch from base 1 to 120 matches the Rfam family "5.8S ribosomal RNA", at positions 35 to 154 of the family's 154-position model. The record is from RNAcentral.